RNAcentral lists this ribosomal RNA (253 nucleotides) under uncultured bacterium. RNAcentral describes it as "partial 16S ribosomal RNA". It matches the Rfam family "Bacterial small subunit ribosomal RNA", at positions 524 to 776 of the family's 1533-position model. The record is from RNAcentral.
UACGUAGGUGGCGAGCGUUACUCGGAAUCACUAGGCGUAAAGCGCAGGUAGGCGGUUCGGUCAGUCUGUUGUGAAAGCUCCCGGCUUAACCGGGGGAGGCCAAUGGAUACUACCGGACUUGAGUGUGGGAGGGGGUGCUGGAAUUCCCGGUGUAGCGGUGAAAUGCGUAGAGAUCGGGAGGAACACCAACGGCGAAAGCAGGCACCUGGACCAAUACUGACGCUGAGCUGCGACAGCUAGGGGAGCAAACAGG